RNAcentral lists this ribosomal RNA (349 nucleotides) under uncultured eukaryote. Its description in RNAcentral is "SSU rRNA". It matches the Rfam family "Eukaryotic small subunit ribosomal RNA", at positions 594 to 945 of the family's 1831-position model. The record is from RNAcentral.
AUAGCGUAUAUUAAAGUUGUUGCCGUUAAAAAGCUCGUAGUCGAACUUCGGCCUCUGCCGCCCGGUCCGCCUAUUUGGGUGUGUACUGGAGCGGUGGAGGCUUACCUCGUGGUGAACGAUCAUGCACUUUAUUGGGUGUGGUCGGGAACCAUGACUUUUACUGUGAAAAAAUUAGAGUGUUCAAAGCAGGCUUACGCCCGAAUACAUUAGCAUGGAAUAAUAAAAUAGGACGUGCGGUCCUAUUUUGUUGGUUUCUAGGAUCGCCGUAAUGAUUAAUAGGGAUAGUUGGGGGCAUUCGUAUUCAAUUGUCAGAGGUGAAAUUCUUGGAUUUAUUGAAGACGAACUACUG